AAGCGUGCGCAGGUCGGUUUUAGUAAGACUGUCGUGAAACUCCCCGGGCUCAACCUGGGAAUGGCGAUGGUGACUGCAAGGCUAGAGUUUGGCAGAGGGGGGUAGAAUUCCACGUGUAGCAGUGAAAUGCGUAGAUAUGUGGAGGAACACCGAUGGCGAAGGCAGCCCCCUGGGUCAAAACUGACGCUCAUGCACGAAAGCGUGGGGAGCAAACAGGAUUAGAUACCCUG
This 230-nucleotide ribosomal RNA is filed under the name uncultured bacterium. Its description in RNAcentral is "partial 16S ribosomal RNA". It matches the Rfam family "Bacterial small subunit ribosomal RNA", at positions 563 to 789 of the family's 1533-position model. The record is from RNAcentral.